GCCCUCGUUGUCUAAUGGUUAUGACGUCAGACUUCUAAUCUGGAGGUUGUGGGUUCGAGUCCCACCGGGGGUU
Molecule: transfer RNA, 73 nt
Organism: Hydnomerulius pinastri MD-312
Lineage: Eukaryota; Fungi; Basidiomycota; Agaricomycetes; Boletales
Rfam family: tRNA
About the family: Transfer RNA (tRNA) molecules are approximately 80 nucleotides in length. Their secondary structure includes four short double-helical elements and three loops (D, anti-codon, and T loops). Further hydrogen bonds mediate the characteristic L-shaped molecular structure. tRNAs have two regions of fundamental functional importance: the anti-codon, which is responsible for specific mRNA codon recognition, and the 3' end, to which the tRNAs corresponding amino acid is attached (by aminoacyl-tRNA synthetases). tRNAs cope with the degeneracy of the genetic code in two manners: having more than one tRNA (with a specific anti-codon) for a particular amino acid; and 'wobble' base-pairing, i.e. permitting non-standard base-pairing at the 3rd anti-codon position.
Source: Rfam